This is a long non-coding RNA of Halichondria panicea, 10017 nucleotides long. RefSeq lists it as uncharacterized. NCBI's taxonomy places the organism in Eukaryota, Metazoa, Porifera, Demospongiae, Suberitida, Halichondriidae. The transcript has 4 exons. The record is from RefSeq and is a predicted model, not a curated record.
UGUUUCCAGUUGGGCGUGCCUUGUAUUAAUUUUGCAUCCUGUCUCUCAGGCCGGGCAUGCACAUGCACUAGCAGCUAGUGUAGGAACAGAAGGGAUGUGCUGAACUCAUCUGUAGCAUCACACACACCGAAGAAUCUUCUUCAGAUUGUACUACUACACAUGUAGUAGCUACAAGGGAAACUAUUACAUUUCGAAUGCCACCAGCCGUAAAACUUGCCAGAAGCUCAUAAUUUGUGGGUCAGGAGGUCCCCAGCUUUAAGAGCCGCUCCCUCAGAACUGACCACAUCAUGUGUAGCGUGGCGUUCAUUUCACUGACCAGCAAUACGAGUAUGACUCGAUCAGUGGUAACGUGACUGUGGAGUGGGAGGGAACAGGGCCAGACAAGUCUAGAUCUCUAAUAUUGUCAGUAAAUUCAAGUGCAAGAUUGACGAUAAAGCGUUGCAAAAUUGCACCAGUCUAUUUACCAUACAAGACUUGGCUAGCGGGAACCACACCAUUACAGUGUACCCUGUGGGUCCAGAGAAUGUGAUUUCGAGCUAUGAGCGUGCAAUUGGCAGAAUUCUCACAUUUGAAAUGUAGUUACUUGCAAUUGCAUAAUGGACCAAAACAGUAACCUCUUCUGGCUGUCUGUAAUCAGUGGACUGGACUACUGGACUGGACUGGACUGGACUGGACUUUGACCUGACUAUUGCAACACCAAUUACAUUCCUUUUCCUCAUAACAGGACCACGAUGACAAAUUAAUGAUUGUAAACAUAAAAAAUAAAAAACACAACAUAGAUAUCUAGCUAUACAUGACUAUUAUAAGAACACAAUGAUAAGCAGCAUUCUUGCUUGCACGACAAUUGAACUGUUAAACAUAGGCUCAAAGUAGGGGAAAUUACACAAACACGGGAAACGUUACAGGUAGAUCUACAGUGAGUAAACAGUUCCCAAGUGUGUGUCUGCCCUUUUCAAAUCCCUCCUGAAACAGCACCUUUUUCAAGUGAUUUUCCUUGUGCAGGAUAACAUCCUUUGUAUCUACUACGACCGGAUCUGAUACAAAUAGCAGGGGGCGGUAUGCUCAUCCGUCUUGUUUGUGGUUUAUAGUUUACUAGAAAAGAUAAGUGUGUAUGUGCAACGGCUUCAUGGAAAGUACGACACGAGUAUGCACACAGAGCAUGCACAUAGACUCGAUCUUUGUACACUAUGAAAGAUGGCAAAUAUUCACUCUCCACGGACAACAAUGUACAGACAAUCAAUGUACCAUUUUCAAUUUAACCUACGUUUGAGCCUAAAAACAACAGUUCUAUAUAUAGAUGCGCUCCAAUUGUAGUUCAAUUAAGCAAGAAUGCAUCAUGGUCCCAACCAGCUAGGCCAGUUACCUGUCCUCCUAUACAGAAAGCUAAUUCCAUCAUGCAAACCUAAAGACAAGCAUUAAUUUUUGUUCUUGCCACAGUAAGUGUUUUGUAAUGUAGCUAGAUGUACAUGUGUUAAGUUUUUACAAUUUGUUAUUGUGGUCUUGUUAUGAGGAAAAGGAACGUAAUUGGUGUUGCAAUAGUCAGGUCAAAGUCCAGUCCAGUAGUCCAGUCCACUGAUUACAGACAGCCAACAUCUUCUUAGGCUGUAUACAUACAGCUGUAUUUUAUAACUGAAUUAGAAGCUGAUGCACGAUACAUUUGAACAUUAUUUUAAGCUGACAUGUAAAAUUAAAUGUUCAUUAAAAACAACAUGUUAUCCAACCAGCCAUGUACACAGUGUAAUACAAUGUAUAUAUAGUAUUGAGUUCUGCAGUGAUAAUAAUAUAGAAUUUUAUUCAAAUAGUAGUAAGCUGUUAAUUCACUGUGACCUUCUCUGUCAUAAACUCUGAUUGCAAUGCCACCAAGUACUUGGUAAUACCCACCCCCAGGUCUCUGAAGCUCAGAGAGGAAAGUGGAAAGUCGCAUUUUGCUUGUUUUCAGCCUUCUCCACCUAAAUAAUGGAAGGUUGGGGGUUUCACGUAAAGCAUGUACCGUGAACAUGUAAUUACACCCAUGCAUGAACUUAAUAUCACAUGUGCAUGCAUGCGCUGCAAAAAGGUUUCUAGAAAACCUAGCUUUCUAUAACACUCUUUCUGUGAUAGUUUGUUACCCUCGAACAUACCCAUGCACUAUUAAUACGGUACUUAAGUAGCAGCCAUAAAAACAAUUGUGGAGCUUGAAAAUGCAUUUGUGCUGUUGGCUAACUGAAUGCAGAUUCGAACUGCUAACUAUAGUGACAUGCGCAGCUAGUCAUUAGAUUCGAGGUAGGGUCGUUUUAUAGCCGCGGCUAUUUUCUGAAAUGUGACCAACUCGCUAUUCCGGCCAAGCUGCACUGUCCCAAGGGUGGCCGGAUUAACGAGAGUCUACUAUAAUUUAUACCUCUUCUAUAUAAUUUAUAACACUCUAAUACCUGAUACUUGAGCGAAACAAACAUGGCGAGAGUCAUAUUAGCACAGCGCAAGCUUGCAUCACUCGUUAAUGACAGUACCUAUAGUAAUUCAUGUAUGUUUUUGAUCCAUGUUAGCCCCUCGGUCCCAGGCCAUUUAAUAUAGAAGUGCCUGGAACUGAGGCUAUAUGCCUGGAACUGAGGCUAUAGAUGCACUGUUACAUUGCAUAUAGACUAUUAAGCGUAUGUACAUUUAAAUUAACAACAAACAAAUUAAACAACACCAUAGUCAUUGUUUUGUGUUACUCACGCAUGGUUACACUGUAGCCAUGGCUUGUAGUUUGGUGGUAACACUGAAACUCGAAAUAUUACAGCAUCGUCUUUCAGGUACUGAUAAUUCUUGUCGGGAUUGUAUAUGAGGUCUGCGUGUGCAAUGAACUUUGCUUUGCCCCAUCCAAUAUCACCCCAUUUAGUUUCCACCACUCUCUGACUUGACUCAUUGUUAAGGAAUUGUAUAUUUGCUUUGUGAUGGUUCUUGUCUUCCAUCUGAUUAAGCAACUCGAAAGUGACUUUUCCUAGAAAUGGCCAUACAAGGGCAUCGUCGUGAUCUCCUUUCAUUAGGCAGGCGUAGAUGGAAAUGUGGGUGCCUUCUCCAGAGCCAAAUCCACCUGCAUGAACACGAAUCAGAAAUUUAUAUCCUUUGUGAGAUGUGCAGAGUAAACCACUAUAGAAUGUAGUUCUGCCAUUUUUGUGCUGUGGGAAAUCAUCCAUUCUAAAUGUUAAUUGCUCCACAUUUUCAUUUAGUUGCUGUGUCAACUCCAGAACUUUGGCAAUUGUGGCUCUCAGGUGAAGCUGAUCGUUUUCCUCGUGUUUCCUGAGGUCUUUGCGUUGAGGUUUCUCUUUACACCCAACCUCAGCGUACUUACAGGGCACACACUCAUACUGGCAGGUGGAUCUAUGGGCGAGGACUUGAUAACGUGGAAUACUAGCUCUACACUUGUAAAUUCCGGCAUUGGGGCAGGGCACACUAAAUUGUUGGCAAGUCUUGAGGUGGGUGCUGGUCCUCUCCUGGUGUUCCCCCAUUUCCUCGCAGUGUGGACACCGGUACUGGCGUCUCGGGCAGUGGUUAGUGAGGUGGUCUUGUUUAUCCUUUCUAUAAAGUUUUACCCUACUGCCGUUCUUUGUACAUACGUUGUCACAAUCUGUUAGAGCGUAGUCGCAUGUGUUUAAAUGCAUACUUAGCGUGCCUAACACUCCUCCGUCCCAUUUGCAGCCAUUCUCCAGAUUAUUGCACCUCACUCUCAGAGCAUUUAUGUAACCAACACCUGCAGCAUAUAUAUAUAUAUAUACAACAUGUACAGUAUAAAUUAUGCAUGAGUAGACUGCAUGUACUAUGUGUACAAAUGCUUACUACUGAACAAUAAUUGCAUAUAAUUAUUAUACCGUAUUACUAGAAUAUUUUGCGGGUGAAAAAUCUUUGCGAAUGAGCUAAAUCAGCAGAAAAUUUGACUCUUUGCGAUCUAACUAUUACGAUUUGGCGAGGAUCAUGUGCAAUAAUUUAGGUUUUGCGAUUUUAUUGUUGCAAAUUGAUCAACCCUCGCAAAAUUCGCAUAUGUUUGUUACUCGCAAAACAUUCUAGUAAUACGGUAGAUCUAUACUUCUUUUAUCUUGGAAGAGACUCUUUAAUUGCUCCUUGCAGUCUGCCAAUGGGCAGGUUUCACUAGUCCUCUGAUACUCCGUUAUACAGCUGUUGCAAAAGAUCUUGCCACAUCCUUCAUCGCCUCCAUGCUGCCGGGGUUCUCUGGCCACUAGUCUACAUAUUUGACACUUGAGAUCAUCUGGGGGAUUUUCUACCCAUUUGCACUUGUAGCCACCAGUUUGAGCUGCCAUGUUGAAACGAGAAUUGCACAUGAGCAACUGCUAUCUGUAGUCCCUUAUAUAGCACACCAACUGAAUGUACACAUUGCUGGGAUCUUCCCUGGGACUACUCCAGUAUCGAUCAUAACUGUUGUCAGCAAGUAUUGUUAUUAUCUAGUUUUGGGACUUUGGGUAACAAUAUCAUCUGAAGCUAUCUGUAUGGAUCUCCACGUUAUUUUAUUCUAACAAUGAUGUGCCUUGAUGUUUGUACCACAGAUCUGCGAGAUGACGUUGGUGCAUCAAUUAAGGGUUCAUAAUUAUAGUGGGGGAGCCAGCAGGACGAGCACCUACCAGGUACUAGCCUCGGUUUCAGGCCGAUUAAAAUACGUAUUUUAAUCGGCCUGGAUUCGAGGCUAACCAGGUAUUGGCUAGCUGCUGCACUGAUGGCUGACCUUCAACAUCGGCGGACUCGUGGAAGAAUGGAAGGUACCCAGCCUAUCAUCUAUGAGUCCAUCUAUGCAUGAGUAUAGCUAUUGGUAUAGAGGUACAGAGGAUUUCAAGUUUUACGUACUUAAUUAAAGUUGAAGUGCAGCCAACCAUGAACCCCUAUUCACACAAAUGCAAUUCCUGGUCAUGGCGUUCAACCAACCUGUACUACACAUUGGAUCCACCUCGGGAACAAUGCAGAUACAUCUAUAGUGUGUAUGUGCACGUGGGGGGGGGGGAGAAUAAGUGAGGGAUGCAGUGAAAUAUAGUAUACACUUACUUAGUGCUGUCACAUGAUCUCCAGUCAAUCAACUUAAGGCAGUUAGGUGACAAUGCUUUAAAUAACUUAAUCACAUGCUAAUCCACACUUUACUUCAUGAAAAACGAGACGAAAUGGAUCAAAUGUAGCCAGGUACAAAAGUGGUGUAACAGGUCAAGCUGUACAAAUGGCAGGUUGUACACAAGGCUAGAGAUCACUUGAGGGCACUAAUUCCUUUAGAACACACCUAGCCAAAAUCACGUGUUUUAAUGCUGGUGCACUCGGAUGGACUCUUGGUUACGUAAUGUAUUCAGCUGUGCCUCGUAUUAAAACACUUAAUCUUGGCUAGGUGUGUUCUACUAUAAUAACCAAGAAGAUUACUCAGAGAAUUAUAUUCUAAAAUGUCUCUAUAUAGACACAAGGUAGCUCAUCAAUGUUGUGCCGGAAACCACACACUACGUAGACACAGUACAUUAGUGAUAUCUCUAUAAUAAUUGGGGCGAGCGUAGCGAGCCUUAACUUAGUGACAACGGUAGGAAAUUUCUCUGUAUGUAUGUUACGUACGGUACGGCCUGAUAGCUGGUUUUUACACACGCGGUCCCUACCAAUUUCGUGUAUUUUGCACAACUGGAGGCAUAAGAAAAAGUUGCAUAAAAUGAAUACUGACAACGAACGCAAACAAGAAAAACUUCGAAUAAGGAGGGAUCGAGAGAGACAAGCAAGAGCCCAAGAAACAGCUGAAGAGAAAGAAGUCAGGCUAGCCAAACGUAGAAGACAGACCUAGCUAUAUCAUUUGUUAGUACAUAAUUAUAUCCCCUGUUCUUAACAGCUUUUCACAAACGUUUAUAUGCUUAUAUCAGCACCUACAGUACUUUCUUUCCCAAUAAGUUCAAACAGGGUCUAACAACAUGCAUCAAAACACCUGUACUGCUAACACGCUCGCCCCAUGACACCUUGUGUCACCCUAGUUUAUAGUUAGUAGUUCCUCACCUUACAAAUGUUAAUGUGGCUGCAGGUAGUAGUGACGGGCUCCACCUCUUGACACACAAUGCGGUUACUGGAUACGACUCAGCAGACAGACCAGCAUGAGGGAGAGAAAGCGUAUCAAUAACCAAGAAGAUUAUAAUUAUUAUGUACAUGCAGUAAUUUGGGGAUUCGGCGAGUUUUCAACCGCCAAUUCAAUUCGGUUCAAAAUGGCCAAAUUGUCCGUAUCAUUAUAGCACUCACUCUGGCAACAUAUUUAUGCAUGCUAGAGUGCGAAUCAUGACAAUACAGACAUAGAAAGCAGUGGAGCCCUUGGCUCUGGGGGCGGUAGUUGUACUGUAAUGUAUGCUGCUGGAAAAUUUUCCUUAACUGGGGAAACAAACAUUUCUUAAUUCUGCUAAAUGCACUCGCUAUACUAAAGUUCUCAACAACAUAAUUAUUACUUAUCAGACUCACCAUGCAGUGCAGUACAAGUUAGCAUUUACAGACAGGGUUGUAUAUAGGUGGCAAUAUUGCAUGGGUUGUGUAUCAGAUCUGUCAUCAUUCCAUGAGACAUGGGACUCAGUGGGUGGGGCAGGGAGCUGUACCAGCUAUGAUGGUGUAAAUAAUCAUUUGCCCUUACUAAUCUAGAGGGCUCGGUGGAAAUAAGUAAUAUGACUGUAUGAACUAUAAUUAAUGUAAGUUGUGAACAAAUUGCAGUUAAAGGCUUAAUUGAUUGCAUGCGACCAUUAUUGAUUUUUAGCAUGACAGAACCCAAUUUAUGUCAGUGCAUGGUGAUACAUGCAGUUGUGACUUAAGUUAUGAUUGUUAUUAAAAUUAAUGGUGAUACAAUUAUAUCUUACCCGAGAAUCCAAUUCAUAUAUAGAUCUAGAGUAUACAUGCAUGUACACUGAUCAGGGGGGUUUAAAGUAAUGAGCGCCAAGCACGUGUUCGUAACUAACCCAUUCCAUGUUUAUUGUUGGAAUGCAUAAUUAAAUUAGCGCUUGUGACACAAUUUUUUUGGCACAUGCAGCGCUUGUAGUUGUAUCAAAGAGUACAGCUAUGGUACUAUCUCUAAAGCAUAUCACCUUUUCCCACUGGGCCCAUUAAUAUUUACAUAAUUAUGGAUAAACUAUAUACUUGCAGUCACUGUAAUGCAUGGCCGUAGAUCUAGGUAUAUAAUUAUAUAUAUAAUUAAGUUAUGCUAAAAUAAUUAUACUAUAAUCCUCUAGCUGAUUCUCUACACUCAAUCUAUAAUGUUCUUGAUAAUUCUCAGUAUAGCCUCGGCAUGAUCCUUGGCUUGCUUGGCCUGCUCAUAGUUGUACAUAUCAGCUGGCACAAUGCCGGAUGGCCAGCGAUUGGGGUAUCUUGGUUUAAGGUAGUAGCUCUCCAAGGGAGUUGUGUGAUUGACUAAUCCAUGCGUCUCUCCAGGACGUUCAGACUGUAGCCCAUGUGCAUGAGUGCUGAUAUUGUGGGUAGUAAGAGCGUUAUCGUCUAACCCACAUACAAAGUACUUGCCUCCUUUGAGAGCUUUCUCUGCUACUUGGUGAGCAUUAAAGCAUACAUCUCCACACAAUUGAGAAUUGUUUCUUGCAUUGUCGAACAGUGUCCGAAGCGAAUCAAAAUUAGCUUCAGCUUGUUUGAGCCAACGUUUUCCUUCAUCAGGCUUAGGCUGAGGUUGUACAUUCUCCUCACCAAAUGGAUCAGACUCGUGCUGUGGUGACGUCCCCCAUCCAGAACUUCCAAAUUCCCUACCCCUCGAAAAUGAGGAAUCACUUGCUCCACGUGCAUUGCUACUGGAUGAGGAGUACUCGUACUGUGUGUGUGCGUGGUGUUCUCUGAAGAAAUUGUUUCUGUGCCUUCUAGCAGUCUCAUUAAGAUCAUCUCUAUGAAACCUUCCAGUACUCCGCGCCUCAAUUUCAGAAUUGAGAAAUUUGAAUACCUUUUCAGCAAAAUCUUGGUUGUCAGAAUUCUUGUCUGGAUGCCACUUGAGGUACAGACGCUUGAUAGCCUUUCGCCGAUCCUCCUCUAACAGCCUCCAAAUAUCAUCCAAUUGCUUUUUAAGAUCACUGAUAACUUCUUCCAAAUCUUUCUCUUGGAGAAUUGUGUGCAAUAGAGUUUGUUUAGUUUCUCCUUCGAACGUUACGGUAUCUUUCUCAGCUUCGUUAACUUUUUUGGGAAAUUUCAGCCCCCUUACAAACUUGUACAGCUCAAGAAUUCCCACUUCAAUUCCUUCAUCAUCCGUUGGGCUUGUGUAGAUUCUGUAUCUCAUGUCCAUACGAUGUACAGAAUCAAGAUUUCCUUCUUUAGGAAGUAGAGGGUGCAUUAUUCGUGCAAAUAUGAUGUGAUCGUCACUAUCUUCAUAGCCGACAAGCUCUCCAGGAUGAAACACAUUGUCAAUAGCUUGGUCUAGUCGAUGGUGCCACUCUGUUGGAAUUUCCUUGCCAAGUUCGACAGAAAGUUUUUUGAUUCGAAUUUCACUAUCUGUGGCAGUGUAUGGAAUAACCUCUUGCUUGAGAACACUGUGCAAUUGAGCAGGAUUUUGAAGCCUCAAAAGCGAAGUAAAGAUCCUGGCCAUCUCUGAGGAAGAAAAAUCAUUCACUUUCGGGUCAAGGUGUUUAAUGAUUUUAAUUAGCUUCUUGGAAAGUGCUCUAACAAUGUCAUCAACACCACUAUCUGGAUCAAUGUUGGAAUCAAGGUACAAGCACAGUCGCUCAUUAGAAUCCUUCUGCUCAUGCUGUAAAUAGAAAGAUAAAUUUUGUUGUCCAAGUUGUGCACCAGUCUCUCUGAAAGUAAUGAGAGUCUGCACCCGCUUAACUGUGACUACAUCAAUACUUGCUACAAAUUCUGUGAAAACAUCAACAAAAUCCUUGACCGUAUCUGUUGCUGCAUUCACAACAGCAUUUAUUACUCUUGGCAGCUCGAUCUUCAUACAUAGUGUUCUCUCCACUUUCUUGUGCACUUCAUUAGGUUCUAUGGGGUGUUUGAAUUCUUGGAUAAUUUUUUGUUCACAUAAUUCAGACAUACCUUUGGGUCUUACUAGUUUUGGAAGCAAUUCACAGAAUUGGCUUUCUGAGAAACCAUACUUAACCAAAGGGGUCAGGUUGAUUAGGGAAUACCCUGUGUUAUCUAAAUUUGUCUUCAAAGCAUGACCAGAAAGACUUGCUGUGUCUGCAUACAACAAUUCUGUGGAAAGUAUCAAUGUGCCUUCAUUUGAUGGAAGAUACAGAGGUGAAAUUUUUUGUGUGUGAUCUGACUCUUUUAAAAACUUAUGGAGACAUUUCAGUGCCUGAACAACACAUGCUUUUGUAUUUUCAUCGAGUUUCUGCCCUUGUGAUUGCUUGUAGGCUGUCUCUAGAACAAGUUGGCAAUGUUUGAUACCCAUACUACUACAAACUCCAAUGCUCUGUAAGAGGCCCAAGAAUGCUGGGUUGAGCUCACUAGGAGCAGAAUGCAGGAAUGGGUGGAGACCUUGAACGGUACAGCUGAGGACAUAGCAAGGUUUCACUAGUACAACCUGCCAACUUUGUGUGUUAUCCUUAUUAGCAGUACUGGGAACAGGGAUGCACGGGAUGUUCUUUAACUGCAUUGAAUAAUGUGUUGACAGCGAAGACAAGUUGUUUUGCAAGAAUGUGAAGUGGCACUUAAUUACUUCCAUUAAUGUUGUAGUACCAUCUUCAGGUGGUGGUUUGUUUGAAGGAGGAUAGUUAUCAAAAAGUUUCAAAUCUGUGAACUUUGCCAUUGAAGAUAUAUUCUUGAGAUUGUUCACAACCUGUUCUAUGGUAGGUUCAAUUGUGAUACCUAAUUGGGUCUUUUUUUGCUCUGACAAGUAGUGGAUUGGCAAUGACACAAUGGGCAUGAUCGUCCAUAAGCACUGUUCAUGACCUGUAAGCAUAGCUGCACCAUUCAUUUUUGUUAAUUCCUCAAUACGUCGACCGGGAUUAGCAAACCGGAAAGGCGAUUUGAUCCAGCUCAGUUGUGGUAACUGCUGAGCUGGUAUGAAGGCAAUAUUUGAUACUUGCUUAUUGAAAUGAAGGUCGUUAGUCCAGCCCUUCUCUGCAUCUGCAA